RNAcentral lists this long non-coding RNA (1124 nucleotides) under Canis lupus familiaris (dog). Its description in RNAcentral is "lncRNA (ENSCAFG00845006147.1)". The record is from RNAcentral. Lineage: Eukaryota; Metazoa; Chordata; Mammalia; Carnivora; Canidae.
CUAAAGGUUAUUAAAGUUGGAAGACUAUGUUUGAUUUGCCUACCCUGAUGGGAAGUGUCAAAAGGACAGUCUUGUUAAGUCUGGAAGAGCUCUGUGGGGAAGCUCUAACCUAAAACUUUCAAGAUACUUAACUAAGGGUACUAAUCAGAACAUAAGUCCAGCAGAAUGUCUCAUGAACUAAAUAUAUGAAGUGGGCCCAUGGAAAUGGACACGAAGAAAAGCAAAGCACAAGCGGUAUAAGGAAGAGAGCUGGGAGGAUGGCAAAGGAGGAAGAAACAGAACUCAACUCCUCUAACAGACAUGCUGAAAUGUAUAGCUAUAUACGGAACAAUUUCUUCUGGGUAGAGGGAGAAGUAAAAAGUGGUGUGAACCUUCAAUCAGGAGAAAACUCAAAACCCAGAGAUUCUCUCUAAAGAACAAGGCAUUCACAUCUCACUGUUGACACCCUGACUUUUAAGACUGACACCUGAGACACAAGUCCCCAAACUAUCUGGCUUUGAAGACAAACAGGACUUCUGCCCAUGAGAUCCACAGGGCUGUGGCAAAUUAAGUAACACCAACUCUUAAAUGGCCUGUGUGCAGACUCAUGCAUUCCAAGCCCAAAGCAGAAGUAGCCCAUUGAAAAGCACCCAGACUUUAUGUGAAAAAAACUUAUUUCCUAAUUUAAAACUUUAGUAUGAGGGACAGAGGCCUGUUUAGGAUACUCUCUGGGGUCAGAGACCAGUGAGUACAAUCUACCUGUACUCCUUUUGCCUUGCUAAAGGCAGCAAGUAUCUUCAUGUUUUGUUUUGUUUUUCCUUUCCCACGGGUGUCACCUUGCACACUCUCCCUCUGCAUUGUUAAAGCUGGUGAACACCAUCUCCUACCCCCAUUUCCUUGUUAUUUCCUUUUUUUUCUCUUCUUUUUCCCUUUCUUUUCUUUCCUUUUUUUUUUUUUUUCAGUAGGUGAUAUCUUUGCAUUCCCAUUUGUCUUGUUGUAACCAGAGAGUGCCGUUUUUGCUCUUUCUCCUCCUGCUAUGUUCACAGCACAAGUAUUUCCUAGAAGGAAGUUCCUACACAUGCCUGGUGCUCCAGUUUUUACAUCUGGUGACAGGGUUUUGUUGUUGCCACAGGAGAUGCCCCUUG